This 1809-nucleotide long non-coding RNA is filed under the name Vigna radiata. RNAcentral describes it as "long non-coding RNA (VRAD_LNC007563)". Lineage: Eukaryota; Viridiplantae; Streptophyta; Magnoliopsida; Fabales; Fabaceae. The record is from RNAcentral.
CUGGGGUGUCGUCGUGGGUCUCGCGUAGUCCAGGGAGGGUUUCCUCCUUCUCUUCCGCCUUGUUCAAGUUUUCACCGCAAGGAUGGAGGCUUCUUUCCUCUUUUCCUCUUCUGCUUCGUCUCACAGGAAGAGAGACGUUGUUCUUUGUCUCGUUUUCUGGCUUUGGUUUCGGGUUUUUGCAAGGCAAAGGAGGAGGUUUCGCUUUUCUCGUUUCUGUCUGGGUUUGUGUUUCGUAGGAGGGAGGUUCCUUUCCUAUCCUCUUUUUCUGGUCGUUCUGGCAGGGAGGUUCGUUCCAGCGUCUAAGCAAUGCGAGGAGCUCGGUUCCUCGGCGUUCUCGUGGUGAUCGGGAUCACGGAAGCUCCCUCUUUUGAAGCAACCUGUGACGGUAGCAGAAUGGGCUGCAUUCUUGAUUCGCGUUUCUGAUUAGGGUUUUCUGAAAUUGGGAAUUUUGGAGGUUUUGGAAUCUAUUAUUGCAAAUUGGGGUUUCUGAUCUUGUUCUUCUAAUUUGGGAAUUCUCUUUUAAGAGCUUUGUUCUUGUUUUCAGAAAUUGUGUUUUGGAACCAAUCGAGAUGUUGGGGUUCUGGCUUUCAGAUUCUGUUUUGAGAAUGAGGUUCCUGUUUUGAGUUCAUGACCUUAGGGUUUGAGUGUAGGGUGUUCGAGUUAAAUAUCUGGGGUUUUGGCUCUUCGUGUGAUCGGAGGUUGAGUGCUUGGUUUCGAUCGGCAUUGGGUCUGACGAUGGUGGUUUCCACCUUCGAGGUGGCCAGAGAGUACAAGCACAGGUUCAGACUGAAUGGCAGUGGGCCGUGGGUCGGUGCGGAUUGAACCUGGUUGGGCCUGCGCAGACCCAUGGUUGGACUUUGUGAAACUCAGAUUUUUAGAAUCGUUGAGACAACCUUUAAAACAAAAAAAAAAAGGUAAGGGAUAAAGAAAAAGUAAUGAAAUUUUAAAUAUAUUUGGAAAUCGAAACUCUAGGGUCCAAAAAUAAUGAUAAGAAAAAGAUUAUGUAUUUGAAAUUAAAAUAAUGGGAAUUAAAAUCAAUUAAUUAAUAGUUUAUGAAAUUGGAAAUAUGAAAUGAAUAUUAAUUGAUUUUAAAAAUGAAAAUAAUGAGAUUAUAAUUAUUAGUUAUAAUAUUAAAUUAUUUACUAAUUUUAAUUUGACAAUGAAGAAAAAUAAUGUGAUUAUAAUUUUUAAUUAGCUCAAUAAAUGUUUUAUUAUUUUUGGUUUAUUAUUAAAUGUUAUUUAUUUAUUUAUUUUGAUUUAUUGUUGGAGUAGAACUCACGUGGUGUUUAUGUUGAUUAAUUGAAUAUUUGAUUUUAAUGUUUGAUUAAAAUAAUAAAGGAUAUAUUAUUUUGGAUUGUUAUUGAAAUAUAUUUUGUUUUUUAUUGUUCGAGUGGAAUCUAUUGAGUACAUUGUAUUUUUAUUGAGCACUUAGAUACUGAUGAUUGAAAUGAGUGAGUGUUGGAAGUGGAAUGGGUGAGUGUAGGAGUUGUACGUGAACGAGUGGUUGAUCGAUGAGCAUAAGAGUGAGGAAUAGGUCCGCUUUUUGUACCUAGUAAAGCCUGAGACUAUCGAUCGGUCGAGAUAAUAACUUCCUGUGGCCUUGUAUGCGAAAAGGGAGUGCUCGAGUAUUGAGCCUUCCUUGUAUGGGGGGUGAUGGUGUUUGCUCUGUCCUUGUGUGGCAGGAAACAUGUUCCUUAUCCAAGUAGGUGGGACUACUCGAGCAGACCUGUAGGAGGGGCUACAGGGGACUUGUGGGGAGGUGUGGUGGAGUGUGACUAAUUCUUUUCACUAUGGAGUUGUGAUAUUGUG